CGGAAGACGAGGUCAACGGGGCGACAGGGAGAUAUGCUGCCACCCCGAUGGGCUGUUAGAAAAACCGACGUUGGCAGGAGGAAAGCGGCAGGAGGGAAAGAAAUCAGAAGUGCUAAAUCAGAUGCUAAAGAAGAAAUAAUUUGAUCAAAAACUGAGAUCUCUUACUUGGGUGUAGUUGCUCUCUUGAUUCUUCAGCUUUAGAUAAAACCUCAGCAAGUUUCAGACAGAUCUCAUCUCAGCUAACAGUUUUCAGCUGCCAUGUUGCUUCUGUAUCAAGUCUCUCCUAGGAGAAGACAUAUAAAGACAUUCAGGGAGACUAGUUUCCAGACAACAGGAGAGCUUUUAAGACUAAGCUAUCUCUAGCCUAACUACAGAAUGGAUAUGAUGAGUCUUCUAAAGAAAUAAUUCACAGAUUAUACAAAGCUAUGUGGUUAUUCCUGAAGUUCAGCUAUUUUUGAACAAUUUCUUUGGAAGCUCUUCUUCAGUGAAGUCAUGCUGGAUGCUGGCAACAAAAGACUGAAGUUCUUUGCUAUUUUGUAAUGACUUACAUUAAUGUAAUAUUUUCUAAUUGUUCAACUAUUCCCUAGCAAGUUGAACACUUAAAUAAUUUACACAGCAUGUUUUAGUUCAAAAGUAUUUUAUAUGCAUUAUAUAAGUUGUGUUUAUAGUAUAAGUUGUAUAUUGCUCUUUUUCCUUAAUGAGCAAUAAAAUAAAUCAUCAGCAUUUAGAGAAUCCUUA
Hemicordylus capensis (graceful crag lizard) is the source of this 738-nucleotide long non-coding RNA. RefSeq lists it as uncharacterized. The record is from RefSeq and is a predicted model, not a curated record. The transcript has 5 exons. Lineage: Eukaryota; Metazoa; Chordata; Lepidosauria; Squamata; Cordylidae.